CAGUCGCCGCGGUAAUACGAGGGGGGCAAGCGUUGUUCGGAAUUAUUGGGCGUAAAGGGUGCGUAGGCGGCUUGACAAGUCUUGUGUGAAAUCUAUGGGCUCAACCCAUAGUCUGCACGGGAAACUGUCGGGCUUGAGAAUGGGAGAGGUGAGUGGAAUUUCCGGUGUAGCGGUGAAAUGCGUAGAUAUCGGAAGGAACACCUGUGGCGAAAGCGGCUCACUGGACCAUUUCUGACGCUGAUGCACGAAAGCUAGGGGAGCAAACAGGAUUAGAUACCCCGGUAGUCCCUGUCUCUUAUAU
RNAcentral lists this ribosomal RNA (301 nucleotides) under uncultured bacterium. RNAcentral's name for it is "partial 16S ribosomal RNA". It matches the Rfam family "Bacterial small subunit ribosomal RNA", at positions 509 to 809 of the family's 1533-position model. The record is from RNAcentral.